RNAcentral lists this ribosomal RNA (460 nucleotides) under uncultured bacterium. RNAcentral describes it as "partial 16S ribosomal RNA". It matches the Rfam family "Bacterial small subunit ribosomal RNA", at positions 338 to 795 of the family's 1533-position model. The record is from RNAcentral.
CCUACGGGAGGCAGCAGUGAGGAAUAUUGGUCAAUGGGCGCGAGCCUGAACCAGCCAAGUAGCGUGAAGGAUGACUGCCCUACGGGUUGUAAACUUCUUUUGUAAAGGAAUAAAGUGAGGCACGUGGGCCUUUUUGUAUGUACUUUAUGAAUAAGGAUCGGCUAACUCCGUGCCAGCAGCCGCGGUAAUACGGAGGAUCCGAGCGUUAUCCUGAUUUAUUGGGUUUAAAGGGAGCGUAGAUGGGUUGUUAAGUCAGUUGUGAAAGUUUGUGGCUCAACCGUAAAAUUGCAAUUGAUACUGUCAGUCUUGAGUGCAGUAGAGGUAGGCGGAAUUCGUGGUGUAGCGGUGAAAUGCUUAGAUAUCACGAAGAACUCCGAUGGCGAAGGCAGCUUACUAAACUGUAACUGACAUUGAUGCUCGAAAGUGUGGGUAGCAAACAGGAUUAGAUACCCUUGUAGUC